This is a non-coding RNA of Paramormyrops kingsleyae, 2073 nucleotides long. The record is from RefSeq and is a predicted model, not a curated record. NCBI's taxonomy places the organism in Eukaryota, Metazoa, Chordata, Actinopteri, Osteoglossiformes, Mormyridae.
GGCGUGUCGCUGGCUUUGUGAGGGUGGCUGGGGAGGGGUAGCUCGCAUCUAUAGCACAAGCUGCUAGGAAGGUCGUCAUCCAGCAACCUGGUUUUUGUGAAGUUUUAAGUGAAAAUACUUUGAUUUCGCAGUAAAACUCAGUCUUAUUACGUGCAGAUUAAAAAAAAAAAAAAACUGAAACUUCAUUGGUGAUUCCGUCACGCUGACUAAAACAGUACUCAUUACGUAUUCUUGGCAGUUUCUCUUUGCAGAUCUAUUCCUUGUAUACUUGAUUUUUGUGAGUUAUUUGUGACCUGUUUUUUGCAGGGCUUUGUGAUCCUUGUUCUUGGAGAGUGAUGUAAUCAUCUCUUGGUUUGAUGCCAUUUCUGUGGCACUGAGGUCGGCUCACACCAAGUGAAACAACCUUGUGUGGUCAUGUGUGAAUCCAGAGUUAUUCCUCAUGCACAUUUGCCCAGUGUGAUAUUUAUUUAUUUCUUUAUUUUACCGCUGCAGACUGACUUGUUGAAGAGGGUUAGUUGGGGGAGGUGGUGUGGUUGGGUGACUGCUGUCCAGAAAAUGGACAUUUGAAAUGAAGGAAUGGUGGGUGCAGAUAUGGAAUCAUCACACUGAGCAUUUAAAAUGAAUUUCCAUUCUGGUACCCUGCAGGUACUGAUGCCUCCAUCGCUCAAUCUUUUAAAAUGCGUAAUCUAGAGCAGGUUUGAGGUUCUCUGUCCUUUUGGUUCUACUUGCACCAUUUUUGCAGUGCUUUGUCUGUUGGGGGGGGGGCAUGAUGGUCUUCUGCCAGUGACCAGCCUGUGAACCAUGUUGAGGUGCUGUAAAGUCCAUUUGUACUUUACUGCUCUUGGUCCGUUUUCGGCUAAGCGGUGCACUCUCCAUGAAACAGCUUUGCGUGAGCAGGUCGGCUGAUCCCAGCACUAAUGCAGUGUGUGGGGUAUCUCUGGUACCGUGUGAUCUGGUGCUCGUGUGUACCAGCCCAGCGCAAGGGCGACCGUCGUGUGUGUGUGUGUGUAUGUGUCUCUGCACUGUGAUUCAUCCUGCCUCUUCCAUCCUCUGAGUUGAAGGCAUAUCGUUUGGCCCCCCUGAUGAAUCUUGACCCUCUCUUGAAGUGUAAUGCCAGAACCGGCCCUCAUGGGCCCCGCGGCUCCUGCAGGAUGGCACCAGCUUGCCCUCCCCUCAGUCACACUGUGGGGUCUGUGCCAAGGGCCAGCCUGUUCAGGCGGUAGCUCUUAAAGGUGAAACUCGGACUGAGCUGCUGCCUCAUAUCUCUGCCACCGAUAGUCCAAAAGCUUUAGGUCAAGCCUAGCUUGCCAAGCAGUUUUCUCUGUAGUAUCAGUGAAGUAAGUAAAUGUGAUGCUUCUUGCAUGAUUUGGAAGUCUGCCUGUUUACCGUCCCUAGUCUUUUUGUCUGAGCCUGUCGUCUCUGAAACCGUACAGUAUUGUGGCAUAAUUCCUGUCAGCUCAUUUGGUGUUUCUGAAGCGUAGGCAAGGUUUUUUACAGUCUUGCUGUCUCUCUGGUUUAACAGUCCCUAGUUAUGGAAAGAGAACCUGACUCAAGUCGGGUUUUAAAGAAAUUAAUGAUAAUCAUUCAUUCCAAAUAAGUAAAUGGUGUAAACCUUUGCAUAAGCAGUUGAGUAGCCCACAAUUGAACUGCAGUCUAGCAGUUAAUGCCAUGAUAACUGUCAGUUCACUAAACUGGUAUGCUGCUUAUCCCUUAACCUCCAGCUUGUUAGCAAACCCUGCCAGUGCAGAAGGGCCCCCACACAGGAAGUGCCCCGAGGGAAGGCUGCUCUGUGCUCACUCCUGUUCUUUUUGCAGGGGCCUUACCUUGGGGCAGGUGGCUGAGGGGCUGAGCGCCGCCUUAAUGCGAGGUGUAGCGUUUUGAGCACGUUGACAUCCAGGUCUGGCUGAGCCACUGGACAUCGUAUAUCGCUCCAUUGAGUCUAGGCGAUGGAUCGACAGGCCAAGGUUCUAUAGCCUUUGGUCAAGAGGAGGAACUACAGGCACCUUUGGUAUGCUGGGAACUUCUGAGGAGGAAUUCAGUACAUUUUUCAAAUAAAUUGAUUUCAUAACUAAA